UACAGAGGUCCCAAGCGUUGUUCGGAUUCAUUGGGCGUAAAGGGUGCGUAGGCGGCGCGGUAAGUCGGGUGUGAAAUCUCGGGGCUUAACUCCGAAACUGCAUUCGAUACUGCCGUGCUUGAGGACUGGAGAGGAGACUGGAAUUUACGGUGUAGCGGUGAAAUGCGUAGAGAUCGGGAGGAACACCAGAGGCGAAGGCGGCGACCUGGACAAGUACUGACACUCAACUACGAAAGCGUGGGGAGCAAACAGG
Molecule: ribosomal RNA, 253 nt
Filed under: uncultured bacterium
Lineage: Bacteria
Description: partial 16S ribosomal RNA
Rfam family: Bacterial small subunit ribosomal RNA
Source: RNAcentral